GAAGAGUUUGAUCAUGGCUCAGAUUGAACGCUGGCGGCAGGCCUAACACAUGCAAGUCGAACGGUAACAGGAAGCAGCUUGCUGCUUUGCUGACGAGUGGCGGACGGGUGAGUAAUGUCUGGGAAACUGCCUGAUGGAGGGGGAUAACUACUGGAAACGGUGGCUAAUACCGCAUAACGUCGCAAGACCAAAGAGGGGGACCUUCGGGCCUCUUGCCAUCAGAUGUGCCCAGAUGGGAUUAGCUUGUUGGUGAGGUAACGGCUCACCAAGGCGACGAUCCCUAGCUGGUCUGAGAGGAUGACCAGCCACACUGGAACUGAGACACGGUCCAGACUCCUACGGGAGGCAGCAGUGGGGAAUAUUGCACAAUGGGCGCAAGCCUGAUGCAGCCAUGCCGCGUGUAUGAAGAAGGCCUUCGGGUUGUAAAGUACUUUCAGCGGGGAGGAAGGUGUUGUGGUUAAUAACCGCAGCAAUUGACGUUACCCGCAGAAGAAGCACCGGCUAACUCCGUGCCAGCAGCCGCGGUAAUACGGAGGGUGCAAGCGUUAAUCGGAAUUACUGGGCGUAAAGCGCACGCAGGCGGUCUGUCAAGUCGGAUGUGAAAUCCCCGGGCUCAACCUGGGAACUGCAUUCGAAACUGGCAGGCUUGAGUCUUGUAGAGGGGGGUAGAAUUCCAGGUGUAGCGGUGAAAUGCGUAGAGAUCUGGAGGAAUACCGGUGGCGAAGGCGGCCCCCUGGACAAAGACUGACGCUCAGGUGCGAAAGCGUGGGGAGCAAACAGGAUUAGAUACCCUGGUAGUCCACGCCGUAAACGAUGUCUACUUGGAGGUUGUGCCCUUGAGGCGUGGCUUCCGGAGCUAACGCGUUAAGUAGACCGCCUGGGGAGUACGGCCGCAAGGUUAAAACUCAAAUGAAUUGACGGGGGCCCGCACAAGCGGUGGAGCAUGUGGUUUAAUUCGAUGCAACGCGAAGAACCUUACCUGGUCUUGACAUCCACAGAACAUUCCAGAGAUGGAUUGGUGCCUUCGGGAACCGUGAGACAGGUGCUGCAUGGCUGUCGUCAGCUCGUGUUGUGAAAUG
RNAcentral lists this ribosomal RNA (1079 nucleotides) under Salmonella enterica. Its description in RNAcentral is "bacterial SSU rRNA". It matches the Rfam family "Bacterial small subunit ribosomal RNA", at positions 1 to 1074 of the family's 1533-position model. Lineage: Bacteria; Pseudomonadati; Pseudomonadota; Gammaproteobacteria; Enterobacterales; Enterobacteriaceae. The record is from RNAcentral.